Molecule: ribosomal RNA, 690 nt
Filed under: Vibrio sp. N04IS6
Lineage: Bacteria; Pseudomonadati; Pseudomonadota; Gammaproteobacteria; Vibrionales; Vibrionaceae
Description: bacterial SSU rRNA
Rfam family: Bacterial small subunit ribosomal RNA
Source: RNAcentral
AGCGGCGGACGGGUGAGUAAUGCCUAGGAAAUUGCCCUGAUGUGGGGGAUAACCAUUGGAAACGAUGGCUAAUACCGCAUAAUGCCUACGGGCCAAAGAGGGGGACCUUCGGGCCUCUCGCGUCAGGAUAUGCCUAGGUGGGAUUAGCUAGUUGGUGAGGUAAUGGCUCACCAAGGCGACGAUCCCUAGCUGGUCUGAGAGGAUGAUCAGCCACACUGGAACUGAGACACGGUCCAGACUCCUACGGGAGGCAGCAGUGGGGAAUAUUGCACAAUGGGCGCAAGCCUGAUGCAGCCAUGCCGCGUGUGUGAAGAAGGCCUUCGGGUUGUAAAGCACUUUCAGUCGUGAGGAAGGUGGUGUAGUUAAUAGCUGNAUNAUUUGACGUUAGCGACAGAAGAAGCACCGGCUAACUCCGUGCCAGCAGCCGCGGUAAUACGGAGGGUGCGAGCGUUAAUCGGAAUUACUGGGCGUAAAGCGCAUGCAGGUGGUUUGUUAAGUCAGAUGUGAAAGCCCGGGGCUCAACCUCGGAAUAGCAUUUGAAACUGGCAGACUAGAGUACUGUAGAGGGGGGUAGAAUUUCAGGUGUAGCGGUGAAAUGCGUAGAGAUCUGAAGGAAUACCGGUGGCGAAGGCGGCCCCCUGGACAGAUACUGACACUCAGAUGCGAAAGCGUGGGGAGCAAACAGGAUUA